RNAcentral lists this unclassified non-coding RNA (235 nucleotides) under uncultured fungus. Its description in RNAcentral is "sequence contains ITS1". Lineage: Eukaryota; Fungi. The record is from RNAcentral.
UUGAGUUAGGGUUCCUCUUUUGGGCCCGAACCUCCAACCCUUUGUUUAAAUGACCUUUGUUGCUUUGGUAGACCUGGCUCCUUUUUCGGAAGUGAGGCCUACCGGAGGGAAGAGAUUUCCCCUCAUUUGUUUGAUGGGAAGGAAUCAACCUUCUGGUUCGUUUGUCUACCAAUAGCCAAUUUAUUAAAUUCUUUCUUAACCAUGAAGUCUGAAUCUUUAAUUAUAAAUUUAAUUA